GAAUGGGGGGGGGCCUAUACAUGCAAGUCGAGCGGACAGAUGGGAGCUUGCUCCCUGAUGUUAGCGGCGGACGGGUGAGUAACACGUGGGUAACCUGCCUGUAAGACUGGGAUAACUCCGGGAAACCGGGGCUAAUACCGGAUGGUUGUUUGAACCGCAUGGUUCAGACAUAAAAGGUGGCUUCGGCUACCACUUACAGAUGGACCCGCGGCGCAUUAGCUAGUUGGUGAGGUAACGGCUCACCAAGGCGACGAUGCGUAGCCGACCUGAGAGGGUGAUCGGCCACACUGGGACUGAGACACGGCCCAGACUCCUACGGGAGGCAGCAGUAGGGAAUCUUCCGCAAUGGACGAAAGUCUGACGGAGCAACGCCGCGUGAGUGAUGAAGGUUUUCGGAUCGUAAAGCUCUGUUGUUAGGGAAGAACAAGUGCCGUUCAAAUAGGGCGGCACCUUGACGGUACCUAACCAGAAAGCCACGGCUAACUACGUGCCAGCAGCCGCGGUAAUACGUAGGUGGCAAGCGUUGUCCGGAAUUAUUGGGCGUAAAGGGCUCGCAGGCGGUUUCUUAAGUCUGAUGUGAAAGCCCCCGGCUCAACCGGGGAGGGUCAUUGGAAACUGGGGAACUUGAGUGCAGAAGAGGAGAGUGGAAUUCCACGUGUAGCGGUGAAAUGCGUAGAGAUGUGGAGGAACACCAGUGGCGAAGGCGACUCUCUGGUCUGUAACUGACGCUGAGGAGCGAAAGCGUGGGGAGCGAACAGGAUUAGAUACCCUGGUAGUCCACGCCGUAAACGAUGAGUGCUAAGUGUUAGGGGGUUUCCGCCCCUUAGUGCUGCAGCUAACGCAUUAAGCACUCCGCCUGGGGAGUACGGUCGCAAGACUGAAACUCAAAGGAAUUGACGGGGGCCCGCACAAGCGGUGGAGCAUGUGGUUUAAUUCGAAGCAACGCGAAGAACCUUACCAGGUCUUGACAUCCUCUGACAAUCCUAGAGAUAGGACGUCCCCUUCGGGGGCAGAGUGACAGGUGGUGCAUGGUUGUCGUCAGCUCGUGUCGUGAGAUGUUGGGUUAAGUCCCGCAACGAGCGCAACCCUUGAUCUUAGUUGCCAGCAUUCAGUUGGGCACUCUAAGGUGACUGCCGGUGACAAACCGAAGGAAGGUGGGGAUGACGUCAAAUCAUCCUGGCCCCUUAUGACCU
Molecule: ribosomal RNA, 1193 nt
Filed under: Bacillus subtilis
Lineage: Bacteria; Bacillati; Bacillota; Bacilli; Caryophanales; Bacillaceae
Description: bacterial SSU rRNA
Rfam family: Bacterial small subunit ribosomal RNA
Source: RNAcentral